CUUCAUCAUGAAACCCUUCCUUCUUAACAGAGAAACCCAAGUCUGGAUCGUGAAAUAAACAAGGAAAACCAUCUAGCAUCCAGUCGUCGCCACCAGAUAUAUCCGUUCUUCACAAAUCGUUUUUUACAUCCACCAAGAAGAAACAAUGUUCCGUUCAAAGCUUUCGAAGCCAGAUCCAUGAUCCGUGAGACAUCUUAAACCAUCCUGCAUGAUAUCCUAAGACUUCUUACCAUACUAAGAAUUGAAAUGCAGUAUUGUUGGCAUGGUUGUCAUAGGGCGGGGGGGUCUUACUAUCUCAUUGGUCGUGCUUUGGGCCUUGAAGUUGGAGUCAACAUAGGACUAUGUUUUUUUUCUAGGGAAUGCUGUUGCUGGAUCUAUCUGCUUUCAUCUUCAAUCAGACGCUUCCAUCUUUAAUCGGAUGAUUUCUUCUUCGAUCGAAAGUUUCUUUCAUCUUCGAACAGGAAGAUGAAGACAAUGGAACCGGCGAUGAGGACGUUAUCACUUCUGUUGGGACAUCAAACGUGUGGACUGCAUUUAGAGAUAGUUUAGCUCAAGAUAUGUUUCAAUCUUGGAGUGUUACCAAUUGAAUUUAU
Cynara cardunculus var. scolymus (artichoke) is the source of this 593-nucleotide long non-coding RNA. RefSeq lists it as uncharacterized. The record is from RefSeq and is a predicted model, not a curated record. NCBI's taxonomy places the organism in Eukaryota, Viridiplantae, Streptophyta, Magnoliopsida, Asterales, Asteraceae. The transcript has 6 exons.